UAAGUUUCCAAUUGGAUUCAGUGCAAAGGUGUUUGUGCUAACCUAAAUCUUAUUUCCUUAACCUAAUGUCAUUGGGUUUGAACCUAUAUUUAAAUAGGUUGCUAAUUUGGAUUUUAUGAAAGUGUUCCAUGUGUGAUCCAUCUCCUCCACACCAAAAGCCAUGCAUAAAUUAAUUGUCAUGCCCAAAAUAAAUGGCGAUGAGAAGGAACAGUCCUUCUCAUCUACUCCUUUUAAUUUUAUCACAAAGUUCCACACGUCCCUUAUUUUUGUGCACCAUCUGAUGGUGCUAUGGCAUGUGU
Molecule: long non-coding RNA, 299 nt
Filed under: Elaeis guineensis (African oil palm)
Lineage: Eukaryota; Viridiplantae; Streptophyta; Magnoliopsida; Arecales; Arecaceae
Description: long non-coding RNA (EGUI_LNC054629)
Source: RNAcentral